ACGCUGGCGGCAUGCCUAACACAUGCAAGUCGAACGGCAGCACAGCAGUAGCAAUACUGUGGGUGGCGAGUGGCGGAACGGGUGAGUAAUGCAUCGGGACCUACCCAGACGUGGGGGAUAACCUCGGGAAACCGGGACUAAUACCGCAUACGUCCUACGGGAGAAAGCGGGGGACCUUCGGGCCUCGCGCGGCUGGACGGACCGAUGUGCGAUUAGCUAGUUGGUAGGGUAAUGGCCUACCAAGGCGACGAUCGCUAGCUGGUCUGAGAGGAUGAUCAGCCACACUGGGACUGAGACACGGCCCAGACUCCUACGGGAGGCAGCAGUGGGGAAUAUUGGACAAUGGGCGCAAGCUGAAUCCAGCAAUGCCGCGUGUGUGAAGAAGGCCUUCGGGUUGUAAAGCACUUUUAUCAGGAACGAAAUACCACGAAGUUAAUAACCUAUGGGGCUGA
This 452-nucleotide ribosomal RNA is filed under the name unidentified proteobacterium. RNAcentral describes it as "bacterial SSU rRNA". It matches the Rfam family "Bacterial small subunit ribosomal RNA", at positions 33 to 472 of the family's 1533-position model. The record is from RNAcentral. Lineage: Bacteria; Pseudomonadati; Pseudomonadota.